AGCAGCCGCGGUAAUUCCAGCUCCAAUAGCGUAUAUUAAAGUUGUUGCAGUUAAAAAGCUCGUAGUUGAAUUUCGGGAUCAAUAUUUCGGUCAUGCCGUUGGUAUGCACUGUUAUCAUUGAUUUCUCACCUUCUAAAGAACCGUAAUGCCAUUAAUUUGGUGUUACGGGGAAUUAGGACUGUUACCUUGAAAAAAUUAGAGUGUUUAAAGCAGGCUCACGCUUGAAUACAUUAGCAUGGAAUAAUGAAAUAGGACAUCCGAUUCUAUUUUGUUGGUUUCUAGGAUCGAUGUAAUGAUUAAUAGGGAUAGUUGGGGGCAUUAGUAUUCAAUUGUCAGAGGUGAAAUUCUUGGAUUUAUUGAAGACUAACUACUGCGAAAGCAUUUGCCAAGGAUGUUUUCAUUAAUCAAGAGCGAAAGUUAGGGGGAUCGAAGACGAUCAGAUACCGUCGUAGUCUUAACCAUAAACUAUGCCGACUAGGGAUC
RNAcentral lists this ribosomal RNA (483 nucleotides) under uncultured Glomus. Its description in RNAcentral is "SSU rRNA". It matches the Rfam family "Eukaryotic small subunit ribosomal RNA", at positions 569 to 1054 of the family's 1831-position model. The record is from RNAcentral. Lineage: Eukaryota; Fungi; Glomeromycota; Glomeromycetes; Glomerales; Glomeraceae.